GAUGAACGCUGGCGGCGUGCUUAACACAUGCAAGUCGAACGAUGAAGCCCAGCUUGCUGGGUGGAUUAGUGGCGAACGGGUGAGUAACACGUGAGUAACCUGCCCUUAACUCUGGGAUAAGCCUUGGAAACUGGGUCUAAUACCCGAUAGGAGCGUCCACCGCAUGGUGGGUGUUGGAAAGAUUUAUCGGUUUUGGAUGGACUCGCGGCCUAUCAGCUUGUUGGUGAGGUAUUGGCUCACCAAGGCGACGACGGGUAGCCGGCCUGAGAGGGUGACCGGCCACACUGGGACUGAGACACGGCCCAGACUCCUACGGGAGGCAGCAGUGGGGAAUAUUGCACAAUGGGCGCAAGCCUGAUGCAGCGACGCCGCGUGAGGGAUGACGGCCUUCGGGUUGUAAACCUCUUUCAGUAGGGAAGAAGCGAAAGUGACGGUACCUGCAGAAGAAGCACCGGCUAACUACGUG
Molecule: ribosomal RNA, 466 nt
Filed under: uncultured bacterium
Lineage: Bacteria
Description: partial 16S ribosomal RNA
Rfam family: Bacterial small subunit ribosomal RNA
Source: RNAcentral